UUCUCAGCUGAACACUGUCAUCUGCCAGAGCUUCAGGCAAGAACCCAGAACAGAUGAAACCCCAGACAUGACAAAAUAAGCCAAGGAAUACCAGGCCAAGAUGUGAAAGGCCAGAUGAGAACAAGCAGCAUACAUGAUUCUGUUGCCAACAGAUCUCCCCUAACAGUGUCGUCCACCAAAUUUCCACAGUGAAUGUCAGGAAAAAAUGGCAAUUGAGAUGAAGAAACUGAGGCAGACAGAGGUGAAGAAACUUGCACAAGGUCAAAGAACAAUCUUUCAGAAAAUGGCAUUGUGUACUGAGGACAAUGAGAGAUAGGAGGUUAUGUUUCCUAUCAAAGCCCUACAUGUAGAAAGGUGAGCUCUCAGAGAUGAUCUGAAUUACCUUUGCUUCUACCGUUUCUGCCUAUUGCUACCUGAUCUGUCACAUCCAUGACUGAGAAAUAUGGUCAACUGGAGAGGCUGAAGAAAUCUGAAAAAAGGCUGAAAGCUGAAACAACUGACGGAAUUCUA
This 510-nucleotide long non-coding RNA is filed under the name Pongo abelii (Sumatran orangutan). RNAcentral's name for it is "lincRNA". The record is from RNAcentral. Lineage: Eukaryota; Metazoa; Chordata; Mammalia; Primates; Hominidae.